Molecule: ribosomal RNA, 457 nt
Filed under: uncultured bacterium
Lineage: Bacteria
Description: bacterial SSU rRNA
Rfam family: Bacterial small subunit ribosomal RNA
Source: RNAcentral
UACGGGAGGCAGCAGUGGGGAAUAUUGCACAAUGGGCGAAAGCCUGAUGCAGCUAUGCCGCGUGUAUGAAGAAGGCCUUAGGGUUGUAAAGUACUUUCAUCGGGGAGGAAAAAACAAAACUAAUAAUUUUAUUUCUUGACGUUACCCGAAAAAGAAGCACCGGCUAACUCCGUGCCAGCAGCCGCGGUAAUACGGAGGGUGCUAGCGUUAAUCAGAAUUACUGGGCGUAAAGAGCACGUAGGUGGUUUUUUUAAGGUCAGAUGUGAAAUCCCUGGGCUUAACCUGGAACUGCAUUUUGAAACUGAAAUACUAGAGUAUCGUAGAGGGAGGUAGAAUUCUAGGUGUAGCGGUGAAAUGCGUAGAUAUCUGGAGGAAUACCUGUGGCGAAAGCGGCCUCCUAAACGAAUACUGACACUGAGGGUGCGAAAGCGUGGGGAGCAAACAGGGAUUAGAUACC